RNAcentral lists this unclassified non-coding RNA (287 nucleotides) under Glomeraceae sp. RNAcentral's name for it is "partial contains 5.8S ribosomal RNA and internal transcribed spacer 2". The stretch from base 1 to 72 matches the Rfam family "5.8S ribosomal RNA", at positions 84 to 154 of the family's 154-position model. Lineage: Eukaryota; Fungi; Glomeromycota; Glomeromycetes; Glomerales; Glomeraceae. The record is from RNAcentral.
GUGAAUCAUCGAAUUUUUGAACGCAAAUUGCACUCUCCGGUUUUCCGGGAGAGUAGGCCUGUUUAGGGGUCGUCCUAAAAAAAAAUCGACAUUGUUGCUGUUUUAUGGUGACUUUCGUCGGAGAUGGGUUAUCUUAAAUCUCGGUUUAAGCGACUUAAUAAUUUUUUUUACGAUUCUUAGGAUGUUUCUAAGUUUUUUCUUGUACGUUUAAGGUAUCGAAUGUCUUAUUAGAUGUGGCCGUCAUAUCGGAUCGGUUUCAUAUUUUUUUUCGUUUACUGACCUCAGCC